This 88-nucleotide transfer RNA is filed under the name Patescibacteria group bacterium. Its description in RNAcentral is "tRNA-Ser". It matches the Rfam family "tRNA". From Rfam's summary of the family: Transfer RNA (tRNA) molecules are approximately 80 nucleotides in length. Their secondary structure includes four short double-helical elements and three loops (D, anti-codon, and T loops). Further hydrogen bonds mediate the characteristic L-shaped molecular structure. tRNAs have two regions of fundamental functional importance: the anti-codon, which is responsible for specific mRNA codon recognition, and the 3' end, to which the tRNAs corresponding amino acid is attached (by aminoacyl-tRNA synthetases). tRNAs cope with the degeneracy of the genetic code in two manners: having more than one tRNA (with a specific anti-codon) for a particular amino acid; and 'wobble' base-pairing, i.e. permitting non-standard base-pairing at the 3rd anti-codon position. RNAcentral also lists the same sequence under 3 other names. The record is from RNAcentral.
GGAGAGGUGGCCGAGUGGUUUAAGGCACCGGUCUUGAAAACCGGCGGCCCGCAAGGGCCCGUGAGUUCGAAUCUCACCCUCUCCGCCA